GUGCUCACUUUGGCAGCACAUAGACUAAAACUGGAAUGAUGCAGAGAAGAUUAACAUGGCCCUGGUGCAAGGAUGACAUGCAAAUUCAUGAAGCAUUCUAUAUUUUU
Small nuclear RNA from Leopardus geoffroyi (Geoffroy's cat), 107 nucleotides. NCBI's taxonomy places the organism in Eukaryota, Metazoa, Chordata, Mammalia, Carnivora, Felidae. The record is from RefSeq and is a predicted model, not a curated record.